This 366-nucleotide ribosomal RNA is filed under the name uncultured Rahnella sp. RNAcentral's name for it is "bacterial SSU rRNA". It matches the Rfam family "Bacterial small subunit ribosomal RNA", at positions 1018 to 1383 of the family's 1533-position model. The record is from RNAcentral. Lineage: Bacteria; Pseudomonadati; Pseudomonadota; Gammaproteobacteria; Enterobacterales; Yersiniaceae.
CUUCGGGAACCGUGAGACAGGUGCUGCAUGGCUGUCGUCAGCUCGUGUUGUGAAAUGUUGGGUUAAGUCCCGCAACGAGCGCAACCCUUAUCCUUUGUUGCCAGCGAGUAAUGUCGGGAACUCAAAGGAGACUGCCGGUGAUAAACCGGAGGAAGGUGGGGAUGACGUCAAGUCAUCAUGGCCCUUACGAGUAGGGCUACACACGUGCUACAAUGGCAUAUACAAAGAGAAGCGAACUCGCGAGAGCAAGCGGACCUCAUAAAGUAUGUCGUAGUCCGGAUUGGAGUCUGCAACUCGACUCCAUGAAGUCGGAAUCGCUAGUAAUCGUAGAUCAGAAUGCUACGGUGAAUACGUUCCCGGGCCUUG